This 637-nucleotide ribosomal RNA is filed under the name uncultured bacterium. RNAcentral's name for it is "bacterial SSU rRNA". It matches the Rfam family "Bacterial small subunit ribosomal RNA", at positions 607 to 1244 of the family's 1533-position model. The record is from RNAcentral.
GCUCAACCGGGGAGGGUCAUUGGAAACUGGGGAACUUGAGUGCAGAAGAGGAGAGUGGAAUUCCACGUGUAGCGGUGAAAUGCGUAGAGAUGUGGAGGAACACCAGUGGCGAAGGCGACUCUCUGGUCUGUAACUGACGCUGAGGCGCGAAAGCGUGGGGAGCGAACAGGAUUAGAUACCCUGGUAGUCCACGCCGUAAACGAUGAGUGCUAAGUGUUAGAGGGUUUCCGCCCUUUAGUGCUGCAGCAAACGCAUUAAGCACUCCGCCUGGGGAGUACGGUCGCAAGACUGAAACUCAAAGGAAUUGACGGGGGCCCGCACAAGCGGUGGAGCAUGUGGUUUAAUUCGAAGCAACGCGAAGAACCUUACCAGGUCUUGACAUCCUCUGACAACCCUAGAGAUAGGGCUUCCCCUUCGGGGGCAGAGUGACAGGUGGUGCAUGGUUGUCGUCAGCUCGUGUCGUGAGAUGUUGGGUUAAGUCCCGCAACGAGCGCAACCCUUGAUCUUAGUUGCCAGCAUUCAGUUGGGCACUCUAAGGUGACUGCCGGUGACAAACCGGAGGAAGGUGGGGAUGACGUCAAAUCAUCAUGCCCCUUAUGACCCGGGCUACACACGUGCUACAAUGGGCAGAACAAAG